Long non-coding RNA from Alexandromys fortis (reed vole), 1947 nucleotides. RefSeq lists it as uncharacterized. The record is from RefSeq and is a predicted model, not a curated record. NCBI's taxonomy places the organism in Eukaryota, Metazoa, Chordata, Mammalia, Rodentia, Cricetidae. The transcript has 3 exons.
GCUUGCUGUAGAAGCAUGAGGACCUACGUUGGAUUUCCAGCACCACAUAAAAAGCCUGUGGUACAUUACAUGCCUGUAAUCGCAGUACUGGAAGGAUCCCUGAAGACACCUCGUCUCAAAAUCAAGGGUUUCUGUAGGUUUUGGAGCCUCUGCUUCCCAAGUGCUGGGGUUAAAGGCAUGCGUCACCACCGCUGUUGUCCUUUUUCAGAAAUAUUUUGAUUUCUGAUGAGUUCAGUGAACAAACACUUCUCAAGAAUGUGCACUAUAUCAGGAAAAUAAAAACAAACAUCUUGAGGAAUUUAAAGAUCUUUGGACAAAUAAGCAUCCAAAGAAAAAGGGAGAACUACCUGGAAAAAAUUACUGAGAAAAGGAAUAAUCUGGCCUAAUGUCAUCUCUGAAGUCUCCAAAAAGGUGAUGGGAUCUCACAAUGACGAUACCGCCUGGAUUAUAACACCACUAAGCUGAAAAACACCAUUACAGAUAGGCUUUGGAAUACAAACUGCUCAGAACAAUUUCAAGAUGGCUACUUGAGAUGAUCCAGCCUCACAGACUACUCUAGCCAGGACUUGAGACAAGCUCUGUACUUUCCCAUUACAGACUGUACAACAAAAAAGCUACCUCUGUCAGGACUUGACAAUUAACCCAAAUUUUUCUUUUCAAGAUCCCCUAAAGAUGCUGUCACCCCCAGACAGCAGGAAGUAAAUUUAAGAACACAAAGCCCACAUUCCAAAGAGAUGAGGUGGGUGGUUUUUGGUCUUUCAUUGGGUUAUGGGUAUUUGUCAUUGUUUAGGGGAAUUGGUUACAAGUUGUUAUUGGUGAUGGUCAGGAAAAAAAGCUGAACAAAGGAGAUUAGAUUCAGGAGUCCUUUUUUUUUUAAGGGAAAAUACAGAUAUGACAGGAUAAAAGGGUAGAGUAUUGAAUCUACUCUGAAAAGGAAAAAGGGAGGAAUAGAUAUGAUGAUAUAAAAAGAUUGAAUCUACUUUUAAAAAGCAACUACUAGUUUUAAAUAUUUUACAUUGGAUUGGACUUUUGUAUAUUGUAUACAAAUUUUGUUUAUUGAUAUAAAUUUAAGAUUAAUUGCCACAUCCACGGCUGUCUCGCCUGUGUGACAAAAUGCCUCUCAAGUGGUAGCCCUCUCAAAAUGAGGGGCUCGUGCUUCCUGGAACUUGCCCCCCCCCCGCCCCCUCCCCCCCACGGCUCCCUGGCAGUCUGCUUGAGUUGUGGUGCCUGAUCAGCCUCAAUGACUUCGUUCACUUUGUUCCUGGCGAUGGUUUCUUGCGUUGGCUCUGCUAUCUUUUUUUUCUGUUCUACUUUUCUCUUGAUAAAAACUUAAUCUGUUCAAGGAACCAGGAACCAUUCCCAACGGCUCCUUGAAAACGGAGGAACUGAUGCGUCAGUUCCCUCCCUUGAUUCAGGCCAUUAAUGUUAUGAUUAAGACUGUGGCUCGCUCUCUGGGGGAAUUUACAGAUACCCUAGAACAGAAAAAGCUCAUGAUAGGAGAGUUGGUAGAAGAUGGGUAAAUUAUGAAGGAAAAUGUAUGGAAUGGCAUGAGUUACCAUUUAUGGAGAGGCUAGCCAGAAUGAGAAACCCCUGGUGCAUUUUAGAUAGGAAAAAAAAGGCAGGCUAUUCUUGAUAACAUGAAGCCAGCCAUUCAAUAUUGGAGCAAACCCUGGGGGUGGAAUCCUGAAGAAUGGUGUUUGGGUUACUUUGGUUACCUUGAGGGCAGAUAUGAUUUAGGGUCAUGAGAAAGCGCAGUUGGUCAAUGGUGUGAGACGAAUUUCAAAGAAAAGCUCUGCCUACCUGGCCCUGACCAGAAGACAUGCUGAGAAUAAUCAAUUGCCUGUAAUCAUUUUCUUUAUGUAAGCUUUUAUGUCUGUCAACUUCCUUCUGUAAUCUCUUAAAAGUGAUGCUUGAAUUUUAGUAAAACUGCAGCAGAUUCAAACCUCA